UGCAAGUCGAACGGAGCACUUCGGUGCGUUAGUGGGCGAAACGGGUGAGUAAUAUAUGAACAACCUACCCCUUUGACCGGGAUAACACAACUGAAAAGCGUGCUAAUACCGGAUAGGCGAUCGAGAGGCAUCUCUUGAUUAUUAAAGGAGCGCAUGCUCCACAUUGGGAUGGGUUCAUAUCGCAUUAGCUAGUUGGUGAGGUAACGGCCCACCAAGGCGAUGAUGCGUAGCCGAUCUGAGAGGAUGACCGGCCACAUUGGGACUGAGACACGGCCCAGACUCCUACGGGAGGCAGCAGUAGGGAAUUUUCGGCAAUGGGCGCAAGCCUGACCGAGCAACGCCGCGUGAACGAUGAAGGGUUCCUUAUGGAUUGUAAAGUUCUGUUACGAGGGAAGAACAGCACUGAUAGGAAAUGAUCAGUGUGUGACGGUACCUCGCCAGAAAGCCACGGCUAACUACGUGCCAGCCGCCGC
This 473-nucleotide ribosomal RNA is filed under the name uncultured bacterium. RNAcentral describes it as "bacterial SSU rRNA". It matches the Rfam family "Bacterial small subunit ribosomal RNA", at positions 56 to 518 of the family's 1533-position model. The record is from RNAcentral.